UUGCCCAAUGAUUAUAGCAAGACGCGUUAUUAUGAGGACUAAUGCUGGAACUCUUUCUCCUCCUCCUCCUUCUCCUCCUCCUCCUCCUCCUCCUUUGUCCCUUCCUCUUUCACCUUACCCCUCACUUUCCUUAGGGUAUCCAGCGUCCUAUGAGCAAGACUGAGAUAUGAGGGCAA
This 176-nucleotide small nucleolar RNA is filed under the name Calidris pugnax (ruff). Its description in RNAcentral is "Small nucleolar RNA SNORD97 (ENSCPUG00000014719.1)". It matches the Rfam family "Small nucleolar RNA SNORD97". Lineage: Eukaryota; Metazoa; Chordata; Aves; Charadriiformes; Scolopacidae. The record is from RNAcentral.